GCUGCCAAUCUAUCUACUGCUGCCAAUCUAUCUAUCGCUGCUAAUCUAUCACUGCUAAUCUAUCGCUGCUAAUCUAUCGCUGCCAACCUACCUACCGCUGCCAAUCUAUCUACCGCUGCCAAUCUAUCUACCACUGCCAAUCUAUCUAUCGCUGCUAAUCUAUCGCUGCUAAUCUAUCGCUGCUAAUCUAUCGCUGCUAAUCUAUCACUGCUAAUCUAUCACUGCUAAUCUAUCGCUGCCAAUCUAUCUACUGCUGCCAACCUAUCUACCACUGCUAAUCUAUUACUGCUGCCAAUCUAUAUAGAGUAAAUCAUGAUUCCAUUUGAUCCCAUUUUGUAAAAUAAAAUCAAAUGGAAUCAGAAUCACUAAUUUAUUAGUAAAACAUGAUCUGAGACUAGAUUUUUAAUAUAAACAGUGUAAAGUGACUAAUUUACUAAAUACUAUAUGAAAUCAGAACUAAAAUAUCUAAUAAUGAAACUAAGGAAAAAUUU
Molecule: small RNA, 491 nt
Filed under: Histoplasma capsulatum
Lineage: Eukaryota; Fungi; Ascomycota; Eurotiomycetes; Onygenales; Ajellomycetaceae
Also listed under: 1 other name
Description: hypothetical RNA
Source: RNAcentral